CAAGUACAAAGAGAAGCAAGACCGUNAGGUGGAGCAAAACUCAAAAACUUGUCUCAGUUCGGAUUGUAGGCUGAAACUCGCCUACAUGAAGCUGGAGUUGCUAGUAAUCGCGAAUCAGCAUGUCGCGGUGAAUACGUUCCCGGGCCUUGUACACACCGCCCGUCACACCAUGAGAGCCGGGAACACCCGAAGCCCGUAGCCUAACUUUAACGAGGGGGCGCGGUCGAAGGUGGGUUUGGUAAUUGGGGUGAAGUCGUAACAAGGUAGC
Molecule: ribosomal RNA, 268 nt
Filed under: uncultured bacterium
Lineage: Bacteria
Description: partial 16S ribosomal RNA
Rfam family: Bacterial small subunit ribosomal RNA
Source: RNAcentral